RNAcentral lists this ribosomal RNA (406 nucleotides) under uncultured bacterium. Its description in RNAcentral is "partial 16S ribosomal RNA". It matches the Rfam family "Bacterial small subunit ribosomal RNA", at positions 30 to 526 of the family's 1533-position model. The record is from RNAcentral.
AUUGAACGCUGGCGGCAGGCCUAACACAUGCAAGUCGAGCGAGAGGCGGACGGGUGAGUAAUGUAUGGGGAUCUGCCCGCUAGAGGGGGAUAACUACUGGAAACGUUGGCUAAUACCGCAUACUAUCGGAUGAACCCCUAUGGGAUUAGCUAGUAGGUGGGGUAACGGGUCCCCUAGGCGACGAUCUCUAGCUGGUCUGAGAGGAUGAUCAGCCACACUGGAACUGAGACACGGUCCAGACUCCGACGGGAGGCAGCAGUGGGGAAUAUGGCACAAUGGGCGCAAGCCUUAUGCAGCCAUGCCGCGUGUGUGAAGAAGGCCUUCGGGUUGUAAAGCACUUUCAGCGAGGAGGCGUUACUCGCAGAAGAAGCACCGGCUAACUCCGUGCCAGCAGCCGCGGUAAUUC